Molecule: unclassified non-coding RNA, 526 nt
Filed under: Hevea brasiliensis (rubber tree)
Lineage: Eukaryota; Viridiplantae; Streptophyta; Magnoliopsida; Malpighiales; Euphorbiaceae
Source: RNAcentral
CCAGCGUCUUGUUCGUGAAAUUGCACAAGACUUCAAAACGGAUUUGAGGUUUCAGAGCCAUGCAGUCCUUGCACUUCAGGAGGCUGCAGAGGCCUACCUUGUUGGUUUGUUUGAGGACACAAAUCUCUGUGCCAUCCAUGCCAAGAGGGUCACUAUCAUGCCUAAGGACAUCCAACUUGCUAGGCGAAUUCGCGGGGAAAGGGCCUAAAUUUUAAUUGCUGUUGGUUCAUUUAGGUCACUGUUCAAUAGCUACUUUCAUUUCUAAUGUGCUAUUCUAAUAUGGAUUACUAUAAGCUGGCAGUCUACUUACUGAAUGUUGUUAAUUUGUAUAAUUUCACUUCUUUGAGAUGACAAUUAUGUUAUCAUUCCCCUAUAUCAUAUUUUCUCUGUUGUUUUAAGCUUUGCUUUCUACUAUUUCAUGUCUGCCUCCUUGACUGGUCUAGUUGUGUGGCAUAGGGCCCCCGUUCUGUCUUUUGUUUUUCAUUUUCUGCUCUUUGGAAGAAUUCGUGGCUGUGGGAGUUUGCUU